AUAUAUAUUAGUCUUAUAUUAAAGGGAAAAUUGAAUCUAAUGUUUUCUUAACUAUUUUUACGGCAAUGUUUUCUUAAAUUCUGACUAUAGCUAAUCUGUUAGGAAUUAUUAAUCUCUUAAAGUAAAACUCAAAAAUAACUUUUUAAUCUUUCUGCUUUAUCUACGGAUACUACCUAGUAACAUAAACCGAAUGGAAAAAAAUCAUAUUACAUCUGAUUAUCUAUACUAUUAUUUAUAAAGUGAUUUAGCUUAUUUGUCAUGAUUUUCAUGAUUUUAGAUAGUUUUGUUUAUUUGUCAUGUUUUAAUUAGUUUUAAGUUGAGUCAUUGAUUUAUUAAUAGUUUUUAGUUGAGUCCCUAAUUUAUUAAUUUAAAAAAAUAAUUAAAAAAUACCCUUAUUGAAUCUUAUAUAUAAUUUAAACGAAUUUUAUUUUAAUAAUAUUAAUUUAUAUGUUAUAUUAAAUAUUUAGUUAAUUUUUCUUAUUUGUCAUAUUUUUAUUAGGUUUUAUACUUUUAGUUGGGUUAUUGAUUUAUUAUUAGUUUCUAACGUAUUCACUAAUUUAUUAAUUUAAACAAGGACAAAUCUCCAAAAUAGCAUUUUUCUAAGUUUAUAUCACAAAAAUAGCACUCAAAAACUAAAAUGACCAAAAUAACAUUUUAUCUUUUAAAAAAUUUAAAUUUUUUUAUUUUUCAAAAUUUGAAAUCUUAUUCCCAAAACCUCACUUCUCAACUCUAAACCCUAAAACCUAAACUCUAAACACUAAACCCUAAAUUCUAAACCCUAAACCCCACUCCUUGAAUGCUAUUUUUGUGACUUUUGGCCUUGAGUGCUAGUUUGGGAACAAAAACUUGAUUUAGUGGUCUUUUUUCUCUUUAAACAAUACCAUUAAUGAGUUUUAUAUAUAAUUAAAAACGACUUUUAUUUGAUAAUAUUAAAUUUAUAUGUUAUAUUAAAUAUUUUAUUAUAAAAUAAUAUAAUAUAAUAAUCAAAAAACUUAUUAAAAAUAAGAUAAGUUAUAUAUAUAUAUAUUGUGUUGCUAUCUGGAAACAAUAUUUUUAUUAUAACAGUUAAAAAAUUAAGAUACCAAAUAGUUUAUAAUUUAUUAUUGUAAUUAUUAUUUGAGAAGUGAAUUUGUUGAUUUGUCAUCUUAUCCAUAAUUUUAGGCAAUUUUACUUAUUUACUACAUUUUUAUUAGGUUUUAGCUAAAUCACUGAUUUAUUAUUAGUUUUUAGUUGAGUUACUAAUUUAUUAAUUUAAAAAAUACCCUUAUUGAAUCUUAUAUAUUAUUUAAACGAAUUUUAUUUUAAUAAUAUUAAUUUAUAUGUUAUAUUAAAUAUUUAGUUAAUUUUUCUUAUUUGUCAUAUUUUUAUUAGGUUUUAUACUUUUAGUUGGGUUAUUGAUUUAUUAUUAGUUUCUAACGUAUUCACUAAUUUAUUAAUUUAAACAAGGACAAAUCUCCAAAAUAGCAUUUUUCUAAGUUUAUAUCACAAAAAUAGCACUCAAAAACUAAAAUGACCAAAAUAACAUUUUAUCUUUUAAAAAAUUUAAAUUUUUUUAUUUUUCAAAAUUUGAAAUCUUAUUCCCAAAACCUCACUUCUCAACUCUAAACCCUAAAACCUAAACUCUAAACACUAAACCCUAAAUUCUAAACCCUAAACCCCACUCCUUGAAUGCUAUUUUUGUGACU
This 1685-nucleotide long non-coding RNA is filed under the name Brassica napus (rape). RNAcentral's name for it is "long non-coding RNA (BNAP_LNC002885)". Lineage: Eukaryota; Viridiplantae; Streptophyta; Magnoliopsida; Brassicales; Brassicaceae. The record is from RNAcentral.